CACGCUAUGAGAGGAAUUUCUCCCUGAGCUACUGUGAGAGACCAAGUAGAACAUCCCAGGUCGUCCCCCAAAGAGGGAAGACGCUGAGGUGUCCACCCUGCAGUCUCUGCCUGUGGCUGGUGGGGGCUGAUUCCGGGAUGGGAGCUCUGGCACAAGUGGUCUCUGGUGCAGAGAGCUGCCACUGCUCAGUCAGCAGUGCUCGGCGUGUGGGGCUGAGCACCCAGGACACACUCGGCCUCUGCGGCCAACGCUCUUUGCCUGGAAGGACAGCCAAGUAUCACUCCCUCACUGUUGCUCUUCAGAGUGACUCACUGGAAACAGGAUGUGGAAAACAUGCAGAAUGGCAAAGCCAAUGAUCUCAGCAGACGCCGACACUUCCACCACUCCUCACGUCCAGCGCCGUCUGGAAACUCACUGAAUGUUCACGACAACCUGAGGCCCGCAGAUCAAUUUCUGAGUCACAGAGCCUGCGUCAUCUCCCAGCACAGGUGAGUUUGAGCAGGAUGCUCAUUAAAAGAAACAACGGGGUGUAAACCUUCGUGCAGCCGACGGGAGCCCUGGGAGGACAGAUCUGCGCAGCCAGCACUCAGCGAGCAUCCAAGGCCCCCUGACGAGUCACAGGUCUGCAGGGCUGCACUUCACCCCACGGAUGAGUAGACCAGCGUCCACCCCUGCGCACGGAGCCAGGCACUGCCGCAGCCCUUCUCCCUGGCUGCCACCCUGCCUUCCCGAAGCAUCCAAUGACCGGGGUGGGGGACUCCCACAUCCCCACCCACAGAUGAAUACUCCAGCUGCACGACAUCUAGAAUAUUCCUUGAAUACCCACUAUCUGCACGUUCCAUACUAGAAGCUUGGGCUUACAAUUGUGACGAAGUCAGAGGUGUCCCUGCUUGUGGGGCACUUUCAUCCAGGGAAAGACAGAUGAUGCCAAAACAAACGAAGAAGAAGAAUACGCCCACAGUGUUCAUGCUUUGAAAAAUAAUCAUAAAACAAGUGGAUAUGUCAUUAAAAAUCACCAGGAGGAAGGAGGGUUAGAUGGGGGCGAAAGUGUCAAAGAUGUCAAAGAAAGUGUGAAACCCACAUAACGAGAGUGAGAGGUCUUGCAAAGAUCUGGGUGAGUGCCUCUCCUGCAGAGGGCAAAGCUGGUGCAAAGGCUCUGAGGUGGGAACAAACCGGGUGUGAUCAAGGAUCAGGAGGGGAUGGCAGGGACCAGCUUAGUGGACCACGUGAGGAGUUGGGGUUUUAUUCAGAAUGUGUGAUGAUGCCAUUGGAGGGGUAACAACAGAGACGCUGAUCCCCAAAGCCAGGCAUGUUCUUAUUCACUGCAGGGCAAUGUGCCCUCUUGCAGCUUGUCUCGACUCCAGCUCCUCACGUGGGGCCUGGGCUUAUUGGAAUGUAGGUGGACAGAUGAGAGGAGGGGUAAGGAGCCAAGAAGCGGGCAGGAGAGAGGGCGUGGCUCUCCAGGAAUCAUGUCAUCCCGUCCUCAUGACGGUCCUGUGUAACAGAUGAGAAAGGGGAAGCCUGCUCAGCGUUAGUGGAGGAGUCAAGUUCACGCCCACACUGGGGACUGCAAACUGCCCUGUCCUCUGCCCCCUGGGUGCAUGCCCUUUGCUACAUGGCUUUGCUGUUCCUCCCAUCAAGUGGGACUGGCCUGGGACUUGCUUUAACAGACGGAGUGAGGCAGCAGGGACAGCGUCCAGCUCUGAGCCUCGGUCUCAAGAGGCACCGUGGUCUGGCACCCUCUCCCGCCUCUGCUGCAUGAAGCCCAGGCGAGUGAGCCUGCUGGAGACACAGAGACAGGUUGGGCCAGCACAGACAGCCUGGACCAGCCAGCCCCCAGCCAACCCGACAGCAAACCAAAGACUCUGGAGGAAGCCAGCUGAGACCAGAGCCACCUAGAUGAGCCCAGCCAAACUGCCAACCUGCCGAAUCAGGAGUGUUCCCAAAUUCAGAUUCUGGAACAAUUCAGUGGAGCCUGGAGGCUGCAAAGCACAGUGGGAGACGGAUGUCCUGGCCCUGGGGGCUGCAGGAAGAGGGCAGCGGGGCCCCUGCCCUGGGCACAGCCUGGAGAGAGGGAGAGGGCAGGUGCCUGAUGGAGCACUAAUCUCUCAGAGAUCUCAGGCUCCCAGGUGCUGCCGCUGCUGCUGGACCAGGGACCACACUUUGAGAACUGCUGUCUUGAUUGACAUUCACAACAGCCGAAUUAGGGACCAAGGAAGAAACUGAAGCAGAGAGAGCAGAAGCGGCCUGCUCAAGGCCACACAGCUAGAAACUGACAGAGGCAGGACUGGAACCCAGGCCGAGUGGAUUCCGAAACCCACCACCUGCAGGUUCCAGAGGUUAAGGUGUGGCCAUCUUCGGGGCCAUUCUGGUGACCACAGACUUGGAUGUCAUCGUCACUUAACCAAGGGGAUGCGUUCUGAGAACUGGCUCCUUAGGCAGUUUUGCCAUUCUCCUGGAGCGUUCUUACACCAACGUAGAUGGUACAGCCUACUGCCCACCUGGGCUCAAUGGUGCUCGUCUUAUGAGACCACUGUCGUAUAUGCGGCCUGUUGUUGACCAAAACGUCCUUACGUGCCCACGACUGUCCAGCAUAGCGCAGAAGGCUGAGUGCACAGCUCGACGAAUUUUUCCGUCUAUACCCACCACCACCCAGAUCAGCACAUAGAAACUUUGUAGGUCCCCAUGGGUUCCCUGUGCCCUCACGUGUCCCCCUCUUUCCCCAACCCCAACAAGGACACACUCUUCUCAACUGCGUUAACUGUCUUUGAACUAUUUAAUUAAUUUAUUUAUUUAUUUUUGCUGAGGAAGAUUCUCCCUGAGCUAAUGUCUGUGCCAAUCUUCCUCUAUUUUGUAUGUGGGAUGCCACCUCAGCAUGGCCACCAACGAGUGGUGUAGGUCCGCGCCGGGGAACCAAAACUGGACCGCUGAAGUGGAGCACGUUGAACUUAACCACUAGACCACAGGGCUGGCCCCUUGAAAUUUUUUUAAGAGAAAUCAUACACGUACAUUUCUUUGUCUCUGGUUUCUUCCACUUAAUAUUAUGCCUGUGAGAUUCACCCAUGUUACUGCACGUAGCAGUAAUUCAUGAUUUUUAUUGCUGUGUAAUAUUCCGUGGCAUGAAUAAACCAAAAUGUAUCCAUUCUACAGUUGAUAGGCAUUGGGGUUGUUAUGGGUUUGGGGCUCUUGUGAAUAGCACUGACAUGAACAUUCUUCGUUACAAAGAGUUUGAAGGUGGCUUUUAUUGACACAUGUCACACAAGCAGUGCAGUGGCCCAACAGUUAGGAACACAGGCUUUGUCUCAGAUUACUGGCAUUCUAGUCUCUGUCUAGCUGCUUACGUACUGUGUGGCCUUGGGCACAGCUUCUCUGUGUCUCAUUUUCCUCUCUUUACAAAGGAUAAUAGUAGUCCUCACCUCAAAGGAGGGUCAAUUAGUUGUCAGGACUCAGUAAAUGUUGGCUAUAAUUAUUAUGAAGCCAAGCAGUACGACAGCAUUGAAAACGGGGGAAUUAAAAGCAGGGAAGGAAGGACAAGAGUAGGAACACACGGUGGACUUGAGAAUGCGUCUUGUGCGUGCAAUACCCACGGCGAUGUCCCCCACGCUUCCAAGUGGGCAGGCAGCAGGCCCGGGGCUGCGCUGGCAAAUCACAGCCUCAGGACCCGGGGACACUUGCUUGUACCAGAGAUGGUGCAGGAUGCUCCCAGAGAAGCAGAGCGCGUCUCCUGGAACAUCCUCAUUCUGCAAAGGUUUAAGGGGAAAUGUGACUUUUGUUUUUAAACAAACACGCGAAGUUUGGAGUAGACUGCAAAGUCACUUGCAUUUCUCAGAUAAACACGAGACUUGAGAAGCAUCCAGCAUUUGCUCUCUCCUCUGCACCCCAAGCCCUGCUGGGCCACCUCUGCCUUCGGGUAGAAGAGUUGGGGGCGCCUGCUGCGUGCUUCCUCGUGGCCACUAGAGGGCAAUAUCACGAGUUCCAAGAUCCGCAGGGGCCCUUGGAAAACAGCAACAGUUGUUCCUCCUGGAGCGUGUUUCUGUUUCUGAUUUUCGCGACUGCGCCGUGGUGGUUUGAGGGCCGCGCAGGCGAGCAGGUUGUGCAGCUCCGUGCUGCACUUGCGUUACUGAUUCCCCUCCCUCUGACCGCCAACAUGCUCGGGGGCACCAUGUCCCCAAACGAGCCCACGAGAGAAAUUAGCUUGUGUUUUGUCUUGCACUGCCCCACUGUCUUGCACGCGUGGAUCCUGGAGCAGACUAUGCAGACGGGAUGGGGUCUCCUCUGCAGGGGCUGCUGGGGCCUGGGCGCCCCAGAUGCCCACCCGCUCCCACUCCACACCCAGGACGAGUAUGGGAUAGAGAGAGGAGAAAACUGAAGGGAGAGGAGGG
This 4382-nucleotide long non-coding RNA is filed under the name Equus caballus (horse). RNAcentral describes it as "lncRNA (ENSECAG00000054350.1)". The record is from RNAcentral. Lineage: Eukaryota; Metazoa; Chordata; Mammalia; Perissodactyla; Equidae.